This 236-nucleotide unclassified non-coding RNA is filed under the name plant metagenome. RNAcentral's name for it is "partial contains small subunit ribosomal RNA, internal transcribed spacer 1, and 5.8S ribosomal RNA". The record is from RNAcentral.
UUUCCGUAGGUGAACCUGCGGAAGGAUCAUUACUGAGUGAGGGCCCCUCGGGGUCCAACCUCCCACCCGUGUUUAACGAACCUUGUUGCUUCGGCGGCCCCGCCUCACGGCCGCCGGGGGGCAUCUGCCCCCGGGCCCGCGCCCGCCGAAGCCACCUGUGAACGCUGUCUGAAGUAUGCAGUCUGAGACAAUUAUUAAAUUAAUUAAAACUUUCAACAACGGAUCUCUUGGUUCCG